Molecule: long non-coding RNA, 902 nt
Organism: Pogoniulus pusillus (Red-fronted tinkerbird)
Lineage: Eukaryota; Metazoa; Chordata; Aves; Piciformes; Lybiidae
Exons: 2
Source: RefSeq, a predicted model, not a curated record
CCACUUUGCCCUCCCUGCCACUCCCCUAUUUAAUCAGCCCCAGGAGAGGCAGAAGCCCCAAGUUUGCCCAACUGGGCAGAGGGAUCCUCCUCCUGUCACUGCUGCAGAAACACACAGGAACUCUCAAGAGAAAUACUUGUAACUCUGAAUUUACAAUCAUGUGGCUGAUGAUCUUUGGUUUGGCCAUGAUAUGGUCCUCUGCAGUCAGUGUGAAGAUUGAAGACUGUAUAAGAAUCACUGAAGGCUCUUACUAGUGCUAAGACACACUGCAGAACCACUGCAUCCUUUCCUCAACGGAAACUCUUUUUCGCUUAUUUCUUGGCUAACUUUAUGGAACAGCUCAGUGAGGUAUGAGCUACUUGUGCUGCUAUGUGGAGUAGGAUUGGACACACUUUUGAGAAAAAGCUCUUCUCUUCAGUUCAAUUUUCCCUUAUGGCUUUGAUAAAGAAAUGAAAAAUGUGCCAGCAGCAACUGGGAGUGACACUGGCAUGCACUGAUUUCAGAUCUCCGAAGGUGCUGGUGAGGCUUUUCAUUUAGAGCUCUGACCUUUCCUGCUCUUAAGUCAUGUAGUACUUCCAUAUGGUCUACAAUAUUUACUAGAUGUGUCUAGCAUCAGCCUGCCCAGACCAUGCUGGAUACAGAAGUACAUGACAGUGAACAACUAAUGGAUCAGUGAGAUGAAAUUUCACAAUCUUUUGCCUGUAAUUCUCCCUCAAGAUCCCUGACAUUAAACAAUGUCAAUUUUGCCUGAAUAAAUGUUAUGGAAUAGCUUCAGAUAAAUCCAGUCAUAGAUAACAUGUUUUCAGGAAGGAACCAAUUUGUUGUUAUGAUUUUGCAUUUUUAAGGAAAUUAGAUUACCUAUGACAACUUGGCCACAAUAAAGAAUUUUGACCAAAGAAAAA